UACGGAGGGUGCGAGCGUUGUCCGGAAUCACUGGGCGUAAAGGGCGCGUAGGCGGCCUGGUAAGUAGGGGGUGAAAUCCUGCGGCUUAACCGCAGGGCUGCCUUCUAAACUGUCAGGCUCGAGCACGGUAGAGGCAGAUGGAAUUCCCGGUGUAGCGGUGGAAUGCGUAGAGAUCCGGAAGAACACCGGUGGCGAAGGCGGCCUGCUGGGCAGUAGCUGACGCUGAGGUGCGAAAGCGUGGGGAGCAAACAGG
RNAcentral lists this ribosomal RNA (253 nucleotides) under uncultured bacterium. RNAcentral describes it as "partial 16S ribosomal RNA". It matches the Rfam family "Bacterial small subunit ribosomal RNA", at positions 524 to 776 of the family's 1533-position model. The record is from RNAcentral.